This 252-nucleotide ribosomal RNA is filed under the name uncultured bacterium. RNAcentral describes it as "partial 16S ribosomal RNA". It matches the Rfam family "Bacterial small subunit ribosomal RNA", at positions 524 to 776 of the family's 1533-position model. The record is from RNAcentral.
GACGUAGGUCCCGAGCGUUGCCCGGAUUUACUGGGCGUAAAGUGCGCGUCGGCGGUUCGGCAAGUCGCCUGUGAAAGUCCGGGCUCAACCCCGGGGUGCCGGGCGAAACUGCCGGGCUAGAGGACGGCAGAGGAGGGUGGUGCGGCCGGAGUAGAGGUGAAAUGCGUAGAUACCGGCCGAAAUCCCGAUGGCGAAGGCAACCCUCUGGGCCGUUCCUGACGCUGAGGCGCGAAAGCGUGGGGAGCGAAUCGG